UGGUGACGUCAUCGUACGCAGAUACGCCGGGCCUUUCCGGAACACAGGCAGUCCAGCAGAGGAGCGGCAGAACAAAGGCAUUUUACCAAUCCUGGGCAAGAGCUCACAUAGCAUAUUUUGCAUAAAAUAGAACUAAAUCCCGUUAGCCACAAAGAGAGAAAUACAGCAGUUAACAAUGGCCGGAACAGUCUUGGAGAAAACUUCAACACGACGGCACACUACUGGGAGCUUGGCGGCCCGCGAAUGCGUCAACGCACAGGAGCGGGAGAGCCGCAGAAGAGGUUGACAACUCGCCAGGUUAAGUACAAGCGUUACAAGUCUGCUCUCACUGUGCCCUGGAUAGCCUUUUUCAGCAAUGCAUUGUACUAAUUUAGCAUAAGCCUAUAUCUGUGUACUGAGAAUUUUUUCCCCCAAAAUUGUUGUGAUUUCUUGUGCACACUGUGAACUAUAACUGGAAAACAUGACAGUAAAUACUGGUGAAAAUAAGAUAACACUGAUUUACUGCUUUUGGCGUGUCAACAUUUUCUUGUACAGUAGUGGCCAAAAGCACUAAACUAAUCCCACUGCAGAUGGUGUCUGCUAUGGCCCUCAGGACAUGGCCAUGGUGAAAGUGGUAGCGCUCCUUGAUCAGGGCUUUCAAACAGCCACUAGGGAUGUGCUCCAAGGUCCCUCUUUUCAGGGUGGUGACUCGGCCUUCCCCCAGUAAAACAAGUUGGAUGGGCUUUAACAAAUGUCUUAGGCAGCCUGGAUUAAGUAUUUUAUUUGAUGGAGCUCAGCUUUCCAAAGCUUGGCCACUGAGACUUUGUACCCCACUGGUUGCUCCCAUCUUAUCCAUUCUAACCAUCCUGCUGGCUCGACUGAUGCUUACACUUCAUAUUGGAACAGUGACUGGUGUAGUGCUGCUAUCCAGGCCAGCCUUUCCAUUAUACACUGCACCCACCAGCACCUUGUGCCUUAGCCAUGAGUCAGUGGCAUCCAUGGUGUAUGCUGCCCCCCACUUCUAUCCUGUCCUGACCUCAAUACCAGCCUGAGAGACCUUUGGGUUGCAGAACUGUCUAGAUUUGAGCCACUCCUGAGUACAGGUCACCAUGAUUUCUUCAUUCAAAUGAUUUACAUCAACUUGGACAAUUACAUUUUCAUUUUAACUGUUGAAGGUCAUAAGAUCAUUAAAGAUUUAGAAACGUGCUGACUCAAACAGCAGAGGAAACAUUAAAUACUUAUAGAAAAUAGUGGUAUUUUGGUCAUGCUUGAAAUAGAAAUAUUGCUAUAGGUACUAAAAUGAUUAAAAUUGGAUGCCACUCAUCCCUUGAUUAGGUAACUCAGAAAAUGUUUGGGAUACUGCUACCAUCUAAUGGACAUUCUCACUGCUCAUAAAGAAUUGUGCAUGGUUGAUUUUUUUAGUUGGUUUAUACAAAGUGUACCAGUACAUGCCAAAUUAUCCCUUUCAGAUAAGAAAGCCUGUCUGUUAAAAUGAACUGAAUUAUUCACUCACUGACUUCUGUAUAACACCAAGUGUUUGGACCUUUUGAAACCAAAACCGUAAUAUGAAAUUAUUUUUUUUCUCAGCUGAUUUCACUGCAUUAAUCUAAUACCACUACAGUUCAAACGGUUAAGUGUCUUAAAAUUCAUAAUGUGUUCCUGAAAAUAUCAUAUCAUAUAUCAAAUUGCUUUCUUAAUGUGUAUUUGGCCCUGCCUGCCUCUACCUCACGUGCUACAAUGGAUGGUGUAAAAGAUCAACAAACAAUGACGUAAAUGGGUGAAGGGGAUGACCUAGUCUUGCAUAUAAAAUUAAUUGACUGUGCAAAAGGAUUAGGACUGGUGAAAGGAGGGCAGCUAUGGGGGCAUUUGUUGACACACACCUGCUUCUGUGUAUCUUGUUUUUAUUCUCUUCCUCUUUCUUACUGCCUUUGUUUUCCUCUCUUUCCUUGUCUUGUAAAUUAAGGAGAAAGUUUCAUCUUAAUGGUUUGCACAAGGUUGGUGAUGUGGUUCUAGGUGGUCUCUUUGAAGUCCACCACAUAUCUGUCUUCCCUGAGCUUUCCUUCACCUCAGAACCAGAUCAACCAAACUGCCAAAGCUUUGACCCUCCAGGGUUCAGACAGGCCCAGACCAUGGCGUUUGCUAUAGAUGAGAUCAACAGAAACUCCAACCUGCUUCCUAAUGUGACUCUGGGAUACAGUUUGUAUGAUAACUGUGCCGCUCUUGGAAUUUCAUUCCGUGCUUCAUUGUCAAUGGCCAGUGGUCAAGAGGAGCAGUUUCUUUUGGAUCAGACAUGUGUGGGGGCCCCUCCAGUCCUGGGGAUUGUGGGUGAAUCAUACUCAACAUUUCCGAUUGCCAUGUCAAGUGUGAUAGGUUUAUAUAACCUGCCAAUUGUAAGUCUGUCAUUUUCUACCUUUUCCACUUGCCAUCAAAGAAUUAUUUUGAUGUACACUAUUUUAAUGAAAUUCCAAAUUAAAUGUACCAAAUUUGGGUCAAAUAUACUGCAAGAAAUGAACGCACUCAUGUUUAUCACAGGUGAGUUACUUUGCCACGUGUCCCUGCCUGAGUGAUCGGCAACGCUUUCCAUCCUUUUUUAGAACAAUCCCAAGUGAUACUUUCCAGGUAAACUUAAGCAGCAAAACUAGAA
Long non-coding RNA from Lates calcarifer (barramundi perch), 2623 nucleotides. RefSeq lists it as uncharacterized. Lineage: Eukaryota; Metazoa; Chordata; Actinopteri; Centropomidae. The record is from RefSeq and is a predicted model, not a curated record. The transcript is spliced from 3 exons.